Hydra vulgaris (swiftwater hydra) is the source of this 357-nucleotide long non-coding RNA. RefSeq lists it as uncharacterized. NCBI's taxonomy places the organism in Eukaryota, Metazoa, Cnidaria, Hydrozoa, Anthoathecata, Hydridae. The record is from RefSeq and is a predicted model, not a curated record.
UAGGCUCGAUCGAGAUAAUGUUAAUCAUCGCCAAAGAGAAAGAAAUAGACUCGAUCGAGAUAAUGUUAAUCGUCACCAAAAUUAAAGAAAUAGGCUCGAUCGAGAUAAUGUUAAUCGUCGCCAAAUUGAAAGAAAUAGGCUGAAAAUGCUGGAAAUAUAGCUGCAUCUUCUGUUUCGAAUGAAAAUGAUUCCUUAUCAUUCGAAGAUUACCAAAAUUAUCGCUCCCAACAACCAGAACCUCUCUCAGAGAAGUCUAUCAAUAAAUGGAAACAUAAUGGCUGAAUGGAUGAGCCCUCCUUUAAAUGGAGGGCUCAUCCAUACCGGGGUGUUGGGAGACACCGAAGGAAAAACAGCAAC